ACGGUCCUAAGGUAGCGAAAUUCCUUGUCGGGUAAGUUCCGACCUGCACGAAUGGCAUAAUGAUGGCCAGGCUGUCUCCACCCGAGACUCAGUGAAAUUGAAAUCGCCGUGAAGAUGCGGUGUACCCGCGGCUAGACGGAAAGACCCCGUGAACCUUUACUAUAGCUUGACACUGAACAUUGAAUUUUGAUGUGUAGGAUAGGUGGGAGACUUUGAAGUAGUCACGCCAGUGAUUAUGGAGUCGUCCUUGAAAUACCACCCUUUAACGUUUGAUGUUCUAACGAAGAUUACGAAACGUGGUCUCGGACAGUGUCUGGUGGGUAGUUUGACUGGGGCGGUCUCCUCCCAAAGAGUAACGGAGGAGCACGAAGGUUUGCUAAUGACGGUCGGACAUCGUCAGGUUAGUGCAAUGGUAUAAGCAAGCUUAACUGCGAGACAGACAAGUCGAGCAGGUACGAAAGUAGGUCAUAGUGAUCCGGUGGUUCUGAAUGGAAGGGCCAUCGCUCAACGGAUAAAAGGUACUCCGGGGAUAACAGGCUGAUACCGCCCAAGAGUUCAUAUCGACGGCGGUGUUUGGCACCUCGAUGUCGGCUCAUCUCAUCCUGGGGCUGUAGUCGGUCCCAAGGGUAUGGCUGUUCGCCAUUUAAAGAGGUACGUGAGCUGGGUUUAAAACGUCGUGAGACAGUUUGGUCCCUAUCUGCCGUGGGCGUUGGAAGAUUGACGGGGGCUGCUCCUAGUACGAGAGGACCGGAGUGGACGCACCUCUGGUGUACCGGUUGUCACGCCAGUGGCAUUGCCGGGUAGCUAAGUGCGGAAGAGAUAACCGCUGAAAGCAUCUAAGCGGGAAACUUGCCUGAAGAUGAGUCUUCCCGGAGGUAAAACCUCCCUCAAGAGUCGUCCGAGACCAGGACGUCGAUAGGUCAGGUGUGUAAGCGCUGUGAGGCGUUGAGCUAACUGAUACUAAUUGCUCGUGAGGCUUGAUCCU
Molecule: ribosomal RNA, 985 nt
Filed under: human gut metagenome
Description: bacterial LSU rRNA
Rfam family: Bacterial large subunit ribosomal RNA
Source: RNAcentral